CGUCUCUCAUCACCAUCAUCAUCCACAAGCAUAACUUCCUCAAGGAAGGAAGACACCUUCCCCACUUCCCCUUCCCCUUCCCUCCUUAGUCGCCAUAUUACUACUCUAUUAGAAGAUAUAUUUAGAUACAGGAAAAGUUACUUAAAUAGUCUGCUACUACUUUUGAAUAGAUAGGUAAGCAUCUCUCGCAAAGUGGGUUUGGGACUAUGGGUUUGGGUUUUGGGAAGGGUUCCUCAAAACCAUAAAAACAGAAACGCCGUUACCCUCAAUCCACUCCGUUUCCCGUUGAGUCUUAAGUCACGUGUUUACGUGCCUUUACGAUUUUAAUCAACAAUCAACAAAACAAUCAAAAACCCAGAUUGAGAUUUGUGUGUGUGAGAGAGAGAGAGAGAGAGAGAGAGAGAGUACAAAAGCCCCGAACUGUCUGCUUUUGCCAGAUGGCCUUAGAACAAUUGAGCCUCGCUGUGGCUGCUGCUCCUCCCCACUCUGACUCCCCUUCCCCCUCCCCCUCCACCGCCGCCCUCAACGGCCGUCAACCCCCCACCACCGCCCUCGACCCCCACAAAGAUGACGACUCCGCCAAAGUCCCCAGGCUCCCCCGCUGGACCCGCCAAGAAAUCCUCGUCCUCAUUCAGGGCAAAAGGGUCGCCGAGAACCGCGUCCGCAGAGGCCGCACCGCCGGCCUCGCCUUCGGCUCCGCCCACGUCGAGCCCAAAUGGGCCUCUGUUUCUUCUUACUGCAAGAGGCACGGCGUCAACCGCGGCCCCGUCCAGUGCAGGAAGAGAUGGAGCAAUCUGGCCGGGGACUUUAAGAAGAUCAAAGAGUGGGAGUCUCAGAUAAGGGAAGAAACCGACUCGUUUUGGCUCAUGAGGAACGAUUUGAGGAGGGAGAGGAAGCUUCCCGGAUUCUUCGAUAGAGAGGUUUACGAUAUUCUCGACGGCGGAGGCCGGGCCGAUGGUGCCACCCCCGCCGCUGAGGAGGGAGCAGAAGAGCUAGUUUUGGCUUUGGCGCCCUCUGCCACCGAGGGUCCUGAGGAGGCCGACGCUGAGACAGAGGCUGUGUUUGACAGUGGUCGGAGCGCUGCAGCUGACGAUGGCUUGUUCUCUGAUUUUGACCAGUCCGUUCAGGAGGAGGUUGUGGGUAGCCCGGAUAAGGAGUUCCGGCCGGCUAACGAGACUCCCGUUACCGCUGUUCCGGCGCCUACUCCAAUUUCAGAGAAGCAGUAUCAACCAAUCUCUCAAGGGCAUCCUGCUCAAGGCACCAGUUUCGAGAAACAACCUUCUUUAAACCCAGAGAUAGGAAGCACUCAGGAAGGAAAGAAACGAAAGAGGUAUAUUGCAGAAGUUGAUGAACAAGAUGAAAUGAAAAGCCUGCAUGAUCAGUUAAUUGAAGCUUUUGAAAGGAAUGGUAAAUUGCUGAGCUCCCAACUAGAAUCUCAGAACGUUCACUUGCAAUUGGAUAGGGAGCAGCGGAAGGAUCAAGCUAAUAGCUUGAUUUCUGUACUUCACAAGCUUGCAGAUGCCUUGGGACGAAUUGCUGAUAAGUUGUAGUAGUUAAUAGUCCUCAAGUUCAGUUUACAGAAAUAUGUCAAGAAAUGGAUGAGUUAUAGCCAGGGCUCUGAAUAGUUUGAUUGGUCAAAUCAGAUUCAUUGAAGGCUGAGGUUGGUUUCCUGAUUAACGCAAUGGCUGAUAAGAUACGUCGCAUGCCCAUCUCCCUCCCUGGAAAAUUUUUAACAGCUUAUUAAACAUCAAUUUGAUGCAUGCAUGGUGGACUGCUGCAACUUCAUCUUCAUCUUUUGGAGGAAUUUCUUUUAAGGUUGGGUGUUGGAUGCUCAAUGCAUUUCACAGCAUGAGUUUCAACUAUAAUGUGUGUACUUGGAAGGAAGGAUUUAAUAGAUAAUCUGGCACCUCAGAGGAAGAGGUGGUUUAUAUAUAUAUAAAUAUAAACCUCAUUUGCGUCUUGGUGCUAUUGUUUGCAUAAUCCUCAGAAGUUGGAUCAUUGACUUGUUUGGUAUUUGCAUCUUCUCCAUCGUUCUUUUGUGAGCCUAAUUCAAAAAAUCAUCUGUCAAGGAGAGGUCAAGAGAGAGGUGCUUUGCGGGCGUUAACUGCUGCAUCUUUUGCAUCUUCUUUCUUCAUUAGAGUAUAAAUGUGGAUCUUGGGUGUUCCCUUUGGAUAUCAAUCAACCUAGCCAGCAGGUAGACAGCGAUGGUGUCGUCGGAAGGCUGCAGGUUAAAGAUGACAUGUCUCUGCUGUUGUAUAUAUAGUUGAAGAGUGUGUUCUGCAUUUUCUUUUCUUUCCCUUAAAACGGGAGCAUCAAUCUUAUGUACUUGCAAGCGUUUUGUUUGUCUUCCUUGGAGCUGGAGCCAGUAGUUAAGUAAUAUAAUAAUAAAAUAUUAGGGGGUUGUUGGAGUCAUGGUUGAAUAUGACUGACGUACAAAUGCAAGCAAGGUUCCGGAAAGACGCAGGACAGCAAAAGCUAAUUGGUUCCAUAACCCCUCGAUUCUC
This is an RNA transcript of Coffea eugenioides, 2504 nucleotides long. It is a transcript of the gene named trihelix transcription factor ASR3, with no coding region annotated. NCBI's taxonomy places the organism in Eukaryota, Viridiplantae, Streptophyta, Magnoliopsida, Gentianales, Rubiaceae. The record is from RefSeq and is a predicted model, not a curated record. The transcript is spliced from 4 exons.